GCACGGGUGAGUAAUGUAUAGAUAACCUGCCCUUAAGAAAGGAAUAACAGUUGGAAACGACUGCUAAUGCCCUAUAUGCCUUUAAUACAUAAGUAUGCAAGGGAAACGCUUUAGUGCUUAAGGAUGGGUCUGUAUGGUAUCAGCUUGUUGGUGAGGUGAUGGCUCACCAAGACUAUGACGCCUAACUGGUUUGAGAGGAUGAUCAGUCACACUGGAACUGAGACACGGUCCAGACUCCUACGGGAGGCAGCAGUGGGGAAUAUUGCACAAUGGACGAAAGUCUGAUGCAGCAACGCCGCGUGGAGGAUGACACAUUUCGGUGCGUAAACUCCUUUUAUAUAGGAAGAUAAUGACGGUACUAUAUGAAUAAGCACCGGCUAACUCCGUGCCAGCAGCCGCGGUAAUACGGAGGGUGCAAGCGUUACUCGGAAUCACUGGGCGUAAAGAGCGUGUAGGCGGGUAUAUAAGUCAGAAGUGAAAUCCAAUAGCUCAACUAUUGAACUGCUUUUGAAACUGUAUACCUAGAAUGUGGGAGAGGUAGAUGGAAUUUCUGGUGUAGGGGUAAAAUCCGUAGAGAUCAGAAGGAAUACCGAUUGCGAAGGCGAUCUACUGGAACAUUAUUGACGCUGAGACGCGAAAGCGUGGGGAGCAAACAGGAUUAGAUACCCUGGUAGUCCACGCCCUAAACGAUGUACACUAGUUGUUGUGGGGCUCGACCUUGCGGUAAUGCAGUUAACACAUUAAGUGUACCGCCUGGGGAGUACGGUCGCAAGAUUAAAACUCAAAGGAAUAGACGGGGACCCGCACAAGCGGUGGGGCAUGUGGUUUAAUUCGACGAUACACGAAGAACCUUACCUGGACUUGACAU
Molecule: ribosomal RNA, 868 nt
Filed under: uncultured bacterium
Lineage: Bacteria
Description: bacterial SSU rRNA
Rfam family: Bacterial small subunit ribosomal RNA
Source: RNAcentral